Molecule: RNA transcript, 493 nt
Organism: Galeopterus variegatus (Sunda flying lemur)
Lineage: Eukaryota; Metazoa; Chordata; Mammalia; Dermoptera; Cynocephalidae
Gene name: leptin receptor overlapping transcript-like 1 pseudogene
Exons: 1
Source: RefSeq, a predicted model, not a curated record
GGGUGUUGUCUGGCCGCCGCCGCCGCCACCGCGCAUCUCAGGUCUCCCGGCCGCAGACGCUGCCGCCUCGGGUGGUGGAGCCAGGAGCGACGUCCACCUCCAUGGCCGGCAUCAAAGCUUUGAUUAGUUUGUCCUUUGGGGGAGCAAUUGGGCUGAUGUUUUUGAUGCUUGGAUGUGCCCUUCCAAUAUACAACAAAUACUCGCCCCUCUUUGUUCUGUCUUUCUACGUCCUCUCACCUAUCCCGUACUGCAUAGCGAGAAGGUUAGUAGAUGACACAGAUGCUAUGAGCAACGCGUGUAAGGAACUCGCCAUAUUUCUUACAACAGGCAUCGUUGUCUCAGCUUUUGGACUCCCUAUUGUAUUUGCCAGAGCACAUCUGACUGAAUGGGGAGCUUGUGUGUUCUCACAGGAAACACAGUCAUCUUUGCAACCAUACUAGGCUUUUUCUUGGUCUUUGGAAGCAAUGACGACUUCAGCUGGCAGCAGUGGUGA